GAGUAGUGCGAGCCGCCGCCGUGGGGAGCCCGCCCGCCGAAGUCUGGCGGCACUGUGGGGGCGGCCUCAGUGCCUCAGUUUCCCCCUGGGGCGGCUGUACGGGAGGCGUGUCGCAGCGAGGUGACCUCCCCCAGGUCCCUGUGCAGAACCUUGAGGUAAGUUCCCAAAAAGUGUAGAGAAUGGCCAUGGGGAAGAAGGAACUGUCACAAAGCUGGAAAGGAGUCUUGGUGCUGGGCUGCCGCCUCUCCCAAGCCCAUCUUGGAUUCUGGAACUUCCUGCUGCCUUGCACACUGACUGGGCUACCUCAGCCCAGCUCUGACUGUCCCCAACUGCCGGCCGGCCCCAGCUUUCCAGAUCUCAGGCUAGAAUGUGGCAACUCCUGGCCCUGCUCCCUGUGUGACCGCUCAGGUACUGAUUGGAUUUCUCCACCUCAUCACUUGCCCCGAUUCCCUCUGAAGCGGUUACUUGACCAGUUCACCACAAGUUCGUCAGCUCACCCUGAGAAUACAGGAUUGUCGAAUCCAAAAUGGGAUGGUAGUGUUGUUCCUUGCACAGUAGUGUACAAUAAUGUUGUACGUGUGCUUUUCAUUUUUUUAUUUUUUUUAUUUUUUGACAGGCAGAGUGCACAGUGA
Molecule: long non-coding RNA, 632 nt
Filed under: Oryctolagus cuniculus (rabbit)
Lineage: Eukaryota; Metazoa; Chordata; Mammalia; Lagomorpha; Leporidae
Description: lncRNA (ENSOCUG00000032535.1)
Source: RNAcentral